GAAUAUUGGACAAUGGGCGCAAGCCUGAUCCAGCAAUGCCGCGUGUGUGAAGAAGGCCUGCGGGUUGUAAAGCACUUUAAGCAGGAAAGAAGGGCGGGGUGUUAAUACCAUCUCGCAUUGACGUUACCUGCAGAAUAAGCACCGGCUAACUCCGUGCCAGCAGCCGCGGUAAUACGGAGGGUGCGAGCGUUAAUCGGAAUUACUGGGCGUAAAGCGCGCGUAGGCGGUUUGUUAAGUCAGCUGUGAAAGCCCCGGGCUUAACCUGGGAAUGGCAGUUGAUACUGGCAAGCUAGAGUGUGGUAGAGGGUAGUGGAAUUUCCGGUGUAGCAGUGAAAUGCGUAGAGAUCGGAAGGAACACCAGUGGCGAAGGCGGCUACCUGGACCAACACUGACGCUGAGGUGCGAAAGCGUGGGGAGCAAACAG
RNAcentral lists this ribosomal RNA (424 nucleotides) under uncultured bacterium. RNAcentral describes it as "bacterial SSU rRNA". It matches the Rfam family "Bacterial small subunit ribosomal RNA", at positions 359 to 775 of the family's 1533-position model. The record is from RNAcentral.